Molecule: ribosomal RNA, 1336 nt
Filed under: uncultured bacterium
Lineage: Bacteria
Description: bacterial SSU rRNA
Rfam family: Bacterial small subunit ribosomal RNA
Source: RNAcentral
GACGAACGCUGGCGGCGUGCUUAACACAUGCAAGUCGAACGGAAAGGCCCUUCGGGGUACUCGAGUGGCGAACGGGUGAGUAACACGUGGGUGAUCUGCCCUGCACUUUGGGAUAAGCCUGGGAAACUGGGUCUAAUACCGAAUAGGACCACGCGCUUCAUGGUGUGUGGUGGAAAGCUUUUGCGGUGUGGGAUGGGCCCGCGGCCUAUCAGCUUGUUGGUGGGGUAAUGGCCUACCAAGGCGACGACGGGUAGCCGGCCUGAGAGGGUGACCGGCCACACUGGGACUGAGAUACGGCCCAGACUCCUACGGGAGGCAGCAGUGGGGAAUAUUGCACAAUGGGCGCAAGCCUGAUGCAGCGACGCCGCGUGAGGGAUGACGGCCUUCGGGUUGUAAACCUCUUUCAAUAGGGACGAAGCGCAAGUGACGGUACCUAUAGAAGAAGCACCGGCCAACUACGUGCCAGCAGCCGCGGUAAUACGUAGGGUGCGAGCGUUGUCCGGAUUACUGGGCGUAAAGAGCUCGUAAGUGGUUUGUCGCGUUGUUCGUGAAAACUCACAGCUUAACUGUGGGCGUGCGGGCGAUACGGGCAGACUAGAGUACUGCAGGGGAGACUGGAAUUCCUGGUGUAGCGGUGGAAUGCGCAGAUAUCAGGAGGAACACCGGUGGCGAAGGCGGGUCUCUGGGCAGUAACUGACGCUGAGGAGCGAAAGCGUGGGGAGCGAACAGGAUUAGAUACCCUGGUAGUCCACGCCGUAAACGGUGGGUACUAGGUGUGGGUUCCUUCCUUGGGAUCCGUGCCGUAGCUAACGCAUUAAGUACCCCGCCUGGGGAGUACGGCCGCAAGGCUAAAACUCAAAGGAAUUGACGGGGGCCCGCACAAGCGGCGGAGCAUGUGGAUUAAUUCGAUGCAACGCGAAGAACCUUACCUGGGUUUGACAUGCACAGGACGCCGGCAGAGAUGUCGGUUCCCUUGUGGCCUGUGUGCAGGUGGUGCAUGGCUGUCGUCAGCUCGUGUCGUGAGAUGUUGGGUUAAGUCCCGCAACGAGCGCAACCCUUGUCCUAUGUUGCCAGCGGGUUAUGCCGGGGACUCGUAGGAGACUGCCGGGGUCAACUCGGAGGAAGGUGGGGAUGACGUCAAGUCAUCAUGCCCCUUAUGUCCAGGGCUUCACACAUGCUACAAUGGCCGGUACAAAGGGCUGCGAUGCCGUGAGGUGGAGCGAAUCCUUUCAAAGCCGGUCUCAGUUCGGAUCGGGGUCUGCAACUCGACCCCGUGAAGUCGGAGUCGCUAGUAAUCGCAGAUCAGAAACGCUGCGGUGAAUACGUUCCCGGGCCU